This 250-nucleotide ribosomal RNA is filed under the name uncultured bacterium. Its description in RNAcentral is "partial 16S ribosomal RNA". It matches the Rfam family "Bacterial small subunit ribosomal RNA", at positions 524 to 773 of the family's 1533-position model. The record is from RNAcentral.
UACGGAGGGUGCAAGCGUUAUCCGGAUUUACUGGGUUUAAAGGGUGCGUAGGUGGACUGGUAAGUCCGUGGUGAAAUCCCCGAGCUUAACUCGGGAACUGCCGUGGAUACUAUUAGUCUUGAAUGUAGCGGAGGUAAGCGGAAUAUGUCAUGUAGCGGUGAAAUGCUUAGAUAUGACAUAGAACACCUAUUGCGAAGGCAGCUUACUACACUACUAUUGACACUGAGGCACGAAAGCGUGGGGAGCAAAC